RNAcentral lists this long non-coding RNA (197 nucleotides) under Mus spicilegus (steppe mouse). Its description in RNAcentral is "lncRNA (ENSMSIG00000028535.1)". The record is from RNAcentral. Lineage: Eukaryota; Metazoa; Chordata; Mammalia; Rodentia; Muridae.
CUGCCUCUCUGGAAUUCCUUUAGCAUGUUCUUCUCCACGAAGCAAGGAACCUAUAGAAUUAAGGAAAGGUGGCUGCAGGAAAUGGACUCUGCGUUUAAUCUGCUCUCUCUCCCUCUCUCUGGGUGUCUGUUGGCCUUGGCUCAGCUUCGAGCUCUCUGGGAACCCAAAGCCCUGGCUGAUGGCGUUGUUGGACCUGG